GCGAAGCCAGCGUUAAAUCCCGGGUGUUGAACAAGCCCGUAGCCACUUCUUUAUAGUAAAUUGUACGAUCUAGUUUGGUGGGCGUAUCGCCUUGAAUCUUUCUUCAAGGCGAGCGAAGCUAAGGUUUCGAUAGUAACGUUAUCAAUGGGUUAUCUGUUUUUGUUGUCUUUUUUUGUUAUAUCUCCUCUGGUUUAACUUCAGCCAUUAUCCUUACUAUGUUUGCCUUUCGGCUAUCUCGGUCGUGUUAUUACCACG
Molecule: unclassified non-coding RNA, 255 nt
Filed under: Aliivibrio wodanis
Lineage: Bacteria; Pseudomonadati; Pseudomonadota; Gammaproteobacteria; Vibrionales; Vibrionaceae
Description: putative sRNA
Source: RNAcentral